This 406-nucleotide ribosomal RNA is filed under the name uncultured bacterium. RNAcentral describes it as "partial 16S ribosomal RNA". It matches the Rfam family "Bacterial small subunit ribosomal RNA", at positions 30 to 526 of the family's 1533-position model. The record is from RNAcentral.
AUUGAACGCUGGCGGCAGGCCUAACACAUGCAAGUCGAACGAUUGGCGGACGGGUGAGUAAUGUCUGGGAAACUGCCUGAUAGCGGGGGAUAACUACUGGAAACGGUAGCUAAUACCGCAUACCAUCAGAUGUGCCCAUAUGGGAUUAGCUAGUAGGGGGGGUAAAGGCUCACCUAGGCGACGAUCCCUAGCUGGUCUGAGAGGAUGACCAGCAACACUGGACUUGAGACACGGUCCAGACUCCGACGGGAGGCAGCAGUGGGGAAUAUUGCACAAGGGGGGCAAGCCUGAUGCAGCCAUUCCGCGUGUGUGAAGAAGGCCUGCGGGUUGUAAAGCACUUGCAGCGGGGAGGCGUUACCCGCAGAAGAAGCACCGGCUAACUCCGUGCCAGCAGCCGCGGUAAUAC